Molecule: long non-coding RNA, 433 nt
Organism: Athalia rosae (coleseed sawfly)
Lineage: Eukaryota; Metazoa; Arthropoda; Insecta; Hymenoptera; Athaliidae
Exons: 3
Source: RefSeq, a predicted model, not a curated record
GGCGUUUAUUCCAACCGCUAGAACCGAUAACAAAACGUUUCCUUCGAGUGCUCGAAUAAUCGGGUCGUAUAUCAGGAAUACCGCAUCGCGGUGAUUGCAUCAACUUCGGAAUAACAGGAAAAAGGCGGAUAUAUCCUACGAAAAAUGAGCGAUGAGUCAAAAGAUCUGGCUUCGAUUACUGGCGAAUCGGUGAUUGAUUCAUCUGGUACGUCGAUAGAAGAUGAAGAGGAGUCAAAACCUCCCUCACCUCGACGAAGUUCAUCAUUCGACAAUCCAAAACUGACGCCGUUUAAACUUCGAUGGUCAUACGGAGUCAAUCCACGAGUUCCCAUCGUCAAUUUAACGUCGGAUAAUCGGUCUCUGAUAGCUUUCGCCUGUUCUCACGCCACUUCUAUCUACGAUUAUACGUCGAGAGACAUGCACCUUCUACAGG